RNAcentral lists this ribosomal RNA (495 nucleotides) under uncultured bacterium. Its description in RNAcentral is "partial 16S ribosomal RNA". It matches the Rfam family "Bacterial small subunit ribosomal RNA", at positions 28 to 523 of the family's 1533-position model. The record is from RNAcentral.
GAUGAACGCUAGCGGGAGGCCUAACACAUGCAAGCCGAGUGGUAUUGUUUCUUCGGAAAUGAGAGAGCGGCGUACGGGUGCGUAACACGUGUGCAACCUGCCUUUAUCUGGGGGAUAGCCUUUCGAAAGGAAGAUUAAUACUCCAUAAUAUAUUGAACGGCAUCGUUUAAUAUUGAAAGCUCCGGCGGAUAGAGAUGGGCACGCGCAAGAUUAGCUAGUUGGUGAGGUAACGGCUCACCAAGGCGAUGAUCUUUAGGGGGCCUGAGAGGGUGAUCCCCCACACUGGUACUGAGACACGGACCAGACUCCGACGGGAGGCAGCAGUGAGGAAUAUUGGUCAAUGGGUGCAAGCCUGAACCAGCCAUCCCGCGUGAAGGACGACUGCCCUAUGGGUUGUAAACUUCUUUUGUAUAGGGAUAAACCUACCCUCGAGAGGGUAGCUGAAGGUACUAUACGAAUAAGCACCGGCUAACUCCGUGCCAGCCGCCGCAGUAA